GCACGCUCCCGGAAUCAACGGAUUGCGCCUCACAGGUGAAAGAGGAGAGCAAUUUUCUUCAAGAUGUGGCCUAAACCAUUCAAUGUCUCUAAAGGGCAGGCAUGAAAGGGCUCCUACCCCACUGUCAGUGCUGACUGGGUACCCAGAGGGCGCUCAACUGCAUCUGGGAAAUUUGUUCAACCUCUGCCCCAGGGAAGCUAACCGUCCCGUCUCAGAACUGCCACUCUCAGAUGGCCUCACUGGAAGGUAACAGCAGUUUCUUCUCUUUCUGGAGUAUCUGGGAAAGCUCAGCGAUCCAGGGCCAACUGUCACCAAAGAUGCUUCCUUGGGCAUCCGUGUCUGCCCAGUUAUAGACAUCUGUCUCAUCUCUGCAAGCCGGAGUGAACGUCCAUCACUGUCAUAUGCCUUGACUCCAGCGAGUCUCCAGCUCUACCCAGACCUAGCAACAGCUUAGACCAUCAUCUACCUGGCCCAUAAAAAUAAAUUAAAGGUAAAUGUGUGCAGCCAGCAAUUCCACCUUUCCAUUCCCCUUGCAAGCACUCACUCAGAGGCCCGUAAAAGGGUUGUUUGUCACCUCUCUAUUUGCGGCGGCAGCAAAAUAGAGCCCGCUUGCCUUGUGCAGCCCGAGGAGACUGAGUAAAUAAAUCACAGACCGUCUCUGGAA
Molecule: long non-coding RNA, 664 nt
Organism: Mus musculus (house mouse)
Lineage: Eukaryota; Metazoa; Chordata; Mammalia; Rodentia; Muridae
Product: predicted gene, 31129
Exons: 2
Source: RefSeq, marked validated